CCUGGUGCCUCUAGCGGCGGGGCAACACCCGAUCCCAUACCGAACUCGGCAGUUAAGCCCGCCAGCGCCGAUGGUAGUCGUCCUUCAGACCGCAAGAGUAGGUCGGCGCCAGGA
This 114-nucleotide ribosomal RNA is filed under the name Candidatus Peregrinibacteria bacterium. Lineage: Bacteria; Candidatus Peregrinibacteriota. The record is from RNAcentral.